Long non-coding RNA from Thamnophis elegans (Western terrestrial garter snake), 291 nucleotides. RefSeq lists it as uncharacterized. The record is from RefSeq and is a predicted model, not a curated record. The transcript is spliced from 3 exons. NCBI's taxonomy places the organism in Eukaryota, Metazoa, Chordata, Lepidosauria, Squamata, Natricidae.
AAGGAGCGGGGAUGGAAAUAGCUCCUUUGGAUGUCCGUCUCGGGGCGUCCGUCUGUGGUGGCGGCGGCGGCGGCAAGCGUUAGGCCUUGCUAGUAAACGGUGUUUGCCUAGUGUGUGAUGCUCGGACAAUCAGAUACUUAACGAGAAGCCAAGCAGGACAGGAACAUACAGUAGCAAAUAUUUCUGCCUAUGUCCACUAACAACUGAAUCAUUAGGCCCCGGCCUGUGCCCCAGAUAUGCAGUGGUUAUGGUUGGUUAGGACUUGCUAGAGAAUUUACCCGUCAAAUCCAA